Molecule: ribosomal RNA, 365 nt
Filed under: Teira dugesii (Madeira wall lizard)
Lineage: Eukaryota; Metazoa; Chordata; Lepidosauria; Squamata; Lacertidae
Description: partial 12S ribosomal RNA
Rfam family: Bacterial small subunit ribosomal RNA
Source: RNAcentral
UUAACAUUGAAAGCUAUCCUACAAUGCUUUCCGCCAGAGAACUACAAGUGAAAAACUUUAAACUCAAAGGACUUGACGGUGUCCCAUAUCGACCUAGAGGAGCCUGUCCUAUAAUCGAUGCUCCCCGUUCCACCCGACCCCAGCUAGCAAUAAAAUCAGCCUAUAUACCGCCGUCGACAGUCUACCCUAUGAAGGCCCAACAGUAGAUACAACAGUCCCCCACUAAUACGACAGGUCAAGGUGUAGCAAAUGCCGGGGAAGAGAUUGGCUACAUUUUUUAUGAUAAAAAAUACGGAAUGCACUAUGAAACACUGCAUGAAGGCGAAUUUAGUAGUAAAAUAAAUAAGAGUAUUUAUUUUAACAAC